This 300-nucleotide ribosomal RNA is filed under the name uncultured bacterium. RNAcentral's name for it is "bacterial SSU rRNA". It matches the Rfam family "Bacterial small subunit ribosomal RNA", at positions 32 to 341 of the family's 1533-position model. The record is from RNAcentral.
AAUCAACGCUGGCGGCGUGCCUAACACAUGCAAGUCGAACGAGAAAGUGGAGCAAUCCAUGAGUAAAGUGGCGCACGGGUGAGUAACACGUGACUAACCUACCCUUGAGUGGGGUAUAACCUAGGGAAACCUGGGCUAAUACCGCAUAAUAUCGAGAGAUCAAAGGAGCAAUUCGCUUAAGGAGGGGGUCGCGGCUGAUUAGCUAGUUGGUGGGGUAAGUGGCCCACCAAGGCNGUGAUCAGUAUCCGGCCUGAGAGGGCGCACGGACACACUGGAACUGAAACACGAUCCAGACUCCUA